UGACCAACCUGCCCCUAACUCUGGGAUAACCCCGGGAAACCGGAGCUAAUACCGGAUACGAGACCGAGUGGCAUCACACGGUCUGGAAAGUUUUUCGGUUAGAGAUGGGAUCGCGGCCUAUCAGCUUGUUGGUGGGGUAAUGGCCUACCAAGGCGACGACGGGUAGCCGGCCUGAGAGGGCGACCGGCCACACUGGGACUGAGACAUGGCCCAGACUCCUACGGGAGGCA
RNAcentral lists this ribosomal RNA (230 nucleotides) under uncultured bacterium. Its description in RNAcentral is "partial 16S ribosomal RNA". It matches the Rfam family "Bacterial small subunit ribosomal RNA", at positions 118 to 350 of the family's 1533-position model. The record is from RNAcentral.